RNAcentral lists this unclassified non-coding RNA (327 nucleotides) under uncultured Micrococcaceae bacterium. Its description in RNAcentral is "contains 16S-23S intergenic spacer region". Lineage: Bacteria; Bacillati; Actinomycetota; Actinomycetes; Micrococcales; Micrococcaceae. The record is from RNAcentral.
UCCGAGUUGACCCCGGCAGUCUCCUGCGAGUCCCCGCCAUUACGCGCUGGCAACACAGGACAAGGGUUGCGCUCGUUGCGGGACUUAACCCAACAUCUCACGACACGUCUCUGCGCCGUUCCGGUUCAUGUCAAGCCUUGGUAAGGUUCUUCGCGUUGCAUCGAAUUAAUCCGCAUGCUCCGCCGCUUGUGCGGGCCCCCGUCAAUUCCUUUGAGUUUUAGCCUUGCGGCCGUACUCCCCAGGCGGGGCACUUAAUGCGUUAGCUACGGCGCGGAAAACGUGGAAUGUCCCCCACACCUAGUGCCCAACGUUUACGGCAUGGACUAC